Molecule: ribosomal RNA, 1280 nt
Filed under: Niphargus sp. NC575
Lineage: Eukaryota; Metazoa; Arthropoda; Malacostraca; Amphipoda; Niphargidae
Description: partial large subunit ribosomal RNA
Rfam family: Eukaryotic large subunit ribosomal RNA
Source: RNAcentral
AAAGCUCUCUCCCGAUGCACAACCGUCGGUGGCAGUAAAGGCUUCAGUACGACCCAGUCAGAACUAUAAGUCUCAAAGCCCCGACGAGUAGGGUGGCGUGCCGGUGAGCGUUGAAGGCCAAGACGUGAGUCAGGCUGGAGCCGCCGGUAGUGCAGAUCUUGGUGGUAGUAGCAAGUACUCUGGUGAACCAACCUGGAGCUGUGAGGUCUGGAUCAGGGUUCCAUGUCAACAGUGAUUGAACAUGGGUGAGUCGAUCCUAAGCCAACUGUGAAAGCAGUGACAUCCCGACAAAGGGGCAAUUCGUGUGGCGGCCACACACACGCGUUUGUGUGCACAUUCGCAAGUCUCCUCUCUCUCGACGCGCGCAUGGUUGGCGUGUGAGGCUCUCUCUGGUUACGCUCUCGUAAGGCGUUAUAUGGUAUGAGAGAGAGAAAACGAGGCAGUGCCGCGCGCGUGUGUGUGCGUCCGUUCUCAAGGCUCCCUGCGUCUGGUUCUAUGUCUGGCGAAAGGGAAUGGGGACUUUGUUCCUUGACCGGUCCCGGCACCCUCGAUAGGCUUUGCCAAUCAAUGGUCCAUGCAAAUGGAACCAGGCCACAGCCGCCGGCAGUCGCCCGAGGAAGAGUUUUCUUUUCUGCUUAACGCACGAGAUCAUCCCUGGAAACAGUUCGGCUGGCGAAAGGGUGCCCCGUUGCGGCAGAGCGCCACGACUGUCGUGCGCGUCUCGGUGUUCCUGCCGGUCCGUGAAGACGUGGUCGAGGGGAUUGCUAUUGUAUCAACGAAACGCCCGACAAGUUCGGGACGGACCGUACCCUAUAUCCGCAUCUGGUCUCCAAGGUUCGUAGCCUCUGCAGAGUCAGACACAUGUAGGUAAGGGAAGUCGGCAAACUCGAUCCGUAACUUCGGGAAAAGGAUUGGCUCUGAGGGCCGAGCUGGGCCGGGCCUUGCCUGCAAAGCAGUACCUAUAGUGACCGGAGUUUCAGGAGUGCGAGGGGCUCUAGUAGCUGCCUGCGCGUUCACGCGUGUGGGCACGAACGAGUCUACCGCUCCGCUCCAACCACGAACGGCUGUGACGGCAAGGGCUCUGGGCGGGAGCGUUCAAACCGUUUGUCCCCAGCUCGUCUGGGUGGCGGCGGUGCUCCGUCUGACCCAUACGGCUCCAGCGGCUAGCGGCUAACUCAGAACUGUCAUGGACCAAGGGAAUCCGACUGUCUAAUUAAAACAAAGCGUCGUGACGGCCCCUGUUGGGUGUUGACGCGACGUGAUUUCUGCCCAGUGCUCUG